AUGAUAGGCCUGAGUUGGAACUGCCGAGGAAUCGGAGGCGCCUCGACAGUUCGUGAUCUCACCGGCCUCGUUCAAACUCACCGCCCACAGUUCGUGUUUUUGUGUACUAGGCAAAAGUCUGAAAGAGUUCGUCGUUUGUGUCAUCGCUUAGGUCUGCGUGGCUUUUGCGGUGUCGACAAUGAAGGUCAGAGUGGUGGUUUAGCUCUGUUCUGGAAUGAUCAGUUAUCAGUUGAGAUU
RNAcentral lists this ribosomal RNA (237 nucleotides) under Triticum aestivum (bread wheat). Its description in RNAcentral is "partial small subunit ribosomal RNA". The record is from RNAcentral. Lineage: Eukaryota; Viridiplantae; Streptophyta; Magnoliopsida; Poales; Poaceae.